UACGUAGGUGGCAAGCGUUGUCCGGAUUUAUUGGGUUUAAAGGGUGCGUAGGCGGUUUCUUAAGUCAGUGGUGAAAUACGGCAGCUCAACUGUCUAGGUGCCAUUGAUACUGGGAAACUUGAGUACUGAUGAGGUAGGCGGAAUGGACGGUGUAGCGGUGAAAUGCUUAGAUAUGACAUAGAACACCAAUUGCGAAGGCAGCUUACUACACAGUGAUUGACACUGAGGCACGAAAGCGUGGGGAUCAAACAGG
This 253-nucleotide ribosomal RNA is filed under the name uncultured prokaryote. RNAcentral describes it as "partial 16S ribosomal RNA". It matches the Rfam family "Bacterial small subunit ribosomal RNA", at positions 524 to 776 of the family's 1533-position model. The record is from RNAcentral.